AUUGAACGCUGGCGGCAGGCCUAACACAUGCAAGUCGAGCGGAUGAAGGGAGCUUGCUCCUGGAUUCAGCGGCGGACGGGUGAGUAAUGCCUAGGAAUCUGCCUGGUAGUGGGGGAUAACGUCCGGAAACGGGCGCUAAUACCGCAUACGUCCAGAGGGAGAAAGUGGGGGAUCUUCGGACCUCACGCUAUCAGAUGAGCCUAGGUCGGAUUAGCUAGUUGGUGGGGUAAAGGCCUACCAAGGCGACGAUCCGUAACUGGUCUGAGAGGAUGAUCAGUCACACUGGAACUGAGACACGGUCCAGACUCCUACGGGAGGCAGCAGUGGGGAAUAUUGGGCAAAGGGCGAAAGCCUGAUCCAGCCAUGCCGCGUGUGUGAAGAAGGUCUUCGGAUUGUAAAGCACUUUAAGUUGGGAGGAAGGGCAGUAAGUUAAUACCUUGCUGUUUUGACGUUACCAACAGAAUAAGCACCGGCUAACUUCGUG
This 484-nucleotide ribosomal RNA is filed under the name uncultured bacterium. RNAcentral describes it as "partial 16S ribosomal RNA". It matches the Rfam family "Bacterial small subunit ribosomal RNA", at positions 30 to 507 of the family's 1533-position model. The record is from RNAcentral.